This 515-nucleotide ribosomal RNA is filed under the name uncultured bacterium. Its description in RNAcentral is "partial 16S ribosomal RNA". It matches the Rfam family "Bacterial small subunit ribosomal RNA", at positions 28 to 523 of the family's 1533-position model. The record is from RNAcentral.
GAUGAACGCUGGCGGCGUGCCUAACACAUGCAAGUCGAGCGAAUGGAUUAAGAGCUUGCUCUUAUGAAGUUAGCGGCGGACGGGGGAGUAACACGUGGGUAACCUGCCCAUAAGACUGGGAUAACUCCGGGAAACCGGGGCUAAUACCGGAUAACAUUUUGAGCCGCAUGGUUCGAAAUUGAAAGGCGGCUUCGGCUGUCAAUUAUGGAUGGACCCGCGUCGCAUUAGCUAGUUGGUGAGGUAACGGCUCACCAAGGCAACGAUGCGUAGCCGACCUGAGAGGGUGAUCGGCCACACUGGGACUGAGACACGGCCCAGACUCCUACGGGAGGCAGCAGUAGGGAAUCUUCCGCAAUGGACGAAAGUCUGACGGAGCAACGCCGCGUGAGUGAUGAAGGCUUUCGGGUCGUAAAACUCUGUUGUUAGGGAAGAACAAGUGCUAGUUGAAUAAGCUGGCACCUUGACGGUACCUAACCAGAAAGCCACGGCUAACUACGUGCCAGCCGCCGCGGUAA